RNAcentral lists this signal recognition particle RNA (98 nucleotides) under Pseudomonadota bacterium. Its description in RNAcentral is "signal recognition particle sRNA small type". It matches the Rfam family "Bacterial small signal recognition particle RNA". Rfam says of the family: The signal recognition particle (SRP) is a universally conserved ribonucleoprotein involved in the co-translational targeting of proteins to membranes. Archaeal SRP consists of a 7S RNA and homologues of the eukaryotic SRP19 and SRP54 proteins. Lineage: Bacteria; Pseudomonadati; Pseudomonadota. The record is from RNAcentral.
CAUCGGCUCCUUCCGCGACGACCAGUCGUGAACCCCGUCAGGCCCGGAAGGGAGCAGCGGUAGCGAUGAUGUCGGGUGCCGGAGUCCGGCUGGUGCGG